This 383-nucleotide ribosomal RNA is filed under the name uncultured bacterium. RNAcentral describes it as "bacterial SSU rRNA". It matches the Rfam family "Bacterial small subunit ribosomal RNA", at positions 28 to 414 of the family's 1533-position model. The record is from RNAcentral.
GACGAACGCUGGCGGCGUGCUUAACACAUGCAAGUCGAGCGGUAAGGCCCUUUCGGGGGUACACGAGCGGCGAACGGGUGAGUAACACGUGGGUGACCUGCCCUCAGCUCUGGGAUAAGCCCGGGAAACUGGGUCUAAUACCGGAUAUGACUCCAUGACGCAUGUUGUGGGGUGGAAAGCCUUGUGCGGCUGAGGAUGGGCCCGCGGCCUAUCAGCUUGUUGGUGGGGUGAUGGCCACCAAGGCGACGACGGGUAGCCGGCCUGAGAGGGCGACCGGCCACACUGGGACUGAGAUACGGCCCAGACUCCUACGGGAGGCAGCAGUGGGGAUCUUGCGCAAUGGGCGAAAGCGUGACGCAGCGACGCCGCGUGGGGAGUGAAGG